RNAcentral lists this ribosomal RNA (490 nucleotides) under uncultured bacterium. RNAcentral describes it as "partial 16S ribosomal RNA". It matches the Rfam family "Bacterial small subunit ribosomal RNA", at positions 30 to 507 of the family's 1533-position model. The record is from RNAcentral.
AUUGAACGCUGGCGGCAGGCCUAACACAUGCCAGUCGAACGGAAACAGGAAGCAGCUUGCUGCUUUGCUGACGAGUGGCGGACGGGUGAGACAUGUCUGGGAACCUGCUCGAUGGAGGGGGUUAACUACUGGAAACGGUAGCUAAUACCGCAUAACGUCGCAAGCCCAAAGAGGGGGACUUUAGGGCCUCUUGCCAUCGGCUGUGCCCAGAUGGGAUUAGCUAGUAGGUGGGGUAACGGCUCACCUAGGCGACGAUCCCUAGCUGGUCUGAGAGGAUGACCAGCCACACUGGAACUGAGACACGGUCCAGACUCCUACGGGAGGCAGCAGUGGGGAAUAUUGCACAAUGGGCGCAAGCCUGAUGCAGCCAUGCCGCGUGUAUGAAGAAGGCCUUCGGGUUGUAAAGUACUUUCAGCGGGGAGGAAGGGAGUAGAGUUAAUACCUUUACUCAUUGACGUUACCCGCAGAAGAAGCACCGGCUAACUCCGUG